This 2866-nucleotide ribosomal RNA is filed under the name Parcubacteria group bacterium GW2011_GWF2_38_8. Its description in RNAcentral is "bacterial SSU rRNA". The stretch from base 1 to 1683 matches the Rfam family "Bacterial small subunit ribosomal RNA". The record is from RNAcentral.
UUGAGAGUUUGAUCCUGGCUCAGGAUGAACGCUGGCGGCGUGGAUAAGGCAUGCAAGUCGAGCGGGCUGUUAUCUUCGGAUAAUAGUCAGCGGCGAACGGGUUAGUAACGCGUAGGUAUUUACCUCUGUCUCGGGCAUAACCCGCCGAAAGGCGGGCUAAUUCCCGAUAGUCUCUUUGGAGUAAAGAUUAAGAGCAAUCUUUUUUGGACAGAGAGAAGCCUGCGUCCUAUCAGCUUGUUGGUAGGGUAACGGCCUACCAAGGCGAUGACGGGUAGGGGGUGUGAGAGCAUGGCCCCCAACAAUGGGACUGCGAACGGCCCAUACACCUACGGGUGGCAGCAGUCGAGAAUCUUUGGCAAUGGGCGAAAGCCUGACCAAGCGACGCCGCGUGAACGAAGAAGCCCUUCGGGGUGUAAAGUUCUUUUAUUAGGGAAAAAUAGGAUUUUUCCUAUGAUGGUACCUAAUGAAUAAGGGGCUGCUAAACUCGUGAACAUUCCCGGGCUCGUCCGGGAAGGCGCGACUCCCAAGAGUAAUCUUGGGAUGCAUAACUUGGCUUAUAUGCUGGAACAUCCAAUUAACUAAGAGCUACUCUUUUAGAGUGACAAUGCUCUUAAAGCUCUUUUUGAGCGUUGGACAAUCAGCAGGGAAGUAAGUUAUAAUUGGAGUAAAGGAAGAGAAAAAUUUCUUCACUUGGUAAAACCUUAUAUUCUUAAUUGUUUUAAACAUAAAUUACCUCCAAUAUAACUUACCCUUCAGAGACUGAAGUCGUUUUUUAACGACUGAGAUAGUAGAUACUAGAUAAUCUAGAUAAAAACUACUAUCAUACGCCGAGAAUCCUAAACUAUUAGGAUUAUGAGAUAGUCCAUUGACUACAACACAUUUAUAUCUAUGUGUCAAUAGCCAGCAGCAGCGGUAAGACGAGUGCCCCAAGCGUUAUCCGGAAUUAUUGGGCGUAAAGCGUGAGUAGGCGGUUUUGAUAGUGGGUGGUUAAAUUUCGGGGCUCAACCCCGAAGCCGCCAUCCAAACGUCAAAACUAGAGCAGGUGAGAGGCUGAUGGAACCUACCAAGUAGGGGUGAAAUCCGUUGAUAUGGUAGGGAACACCAAAGGCGAAGGCAUUCAGCUGGCGCCUGGCUGACGCUGAAUCACGAAAGCGUGGGGAGAAAAAAGGAUUAGAUACCCUUGUAUUCCACGCCCUAAACGAUGCCAACUAGCCGUCGGGAGUAUCGACCCUCUCGGUGGCGAAGCUAACGCGUUAAGUUGGCCGCCUGGGAAUUACGGCCGCAAGGCUAAAACUCAAAGGAAUAGACGGGGAUUCGCACAAGCGGUGGACCAUGUGGUUCAAUUCGAUUCUAAGCGAGGAACCUUACCGGGGUUAGACUCCCUGAUGAAAAACUUGAGAAAUCAGGUUUGUCUUACAAGGACAUCAGGGUCAGGUGAUGCACGGUUAUUUUACCCCGCGCCUUUCAAGUUGAAAUUUUCUUUUCAAGAAAAUUUAUUUUCUUGAACAACUUGAAAGGCGCGGGGUUUACGAUGACCCUUUUAGCAGUAAUGCUAAUUGAAAAAUCGGCUGGUAACGGUGGAACCCAUUUACUUUUUAUGUUAAAAUGAAGGUAAAUGGACAAUACCGUGGGAAGUAUAGAUAUUAAUAAAUUACUUUUGGAUUCACAAGGAGCCUAUAUUUUAGGUUUAUGGUGUUCUGAUGGUUAUCAUAGGACAAGUAGUAUUGGAUUAAGCAAUACAGAUGAAGAACUUUUAGAAAGAUUUGCUUUAUUCCUAUUAGAUAUUUUUCCUAAAAAUCGGUUAAGAAUAAGAGCUUAUCAUCCUAUCAAGACAAAAAUACCGAGAAUUUCAAAUAGGCUUUCUGUUAUUACAGAAAAUAUUGUUUAUUAUCCAUCAUUCAAAGCAAGGCAGAUGGUUUGUCAUUUAUAUGUCAAUAGCCGUCCUUUAUUGCGGAUAUUUAAGUUAGCAAGAGAUAAAAUAGAGCAAAUAGAUUCAAAAGUAAUCACGUCUUAUGUGGCAGGACGAUUUGAUGGAGAUGGCUCUGUGAAUAAGAAAAAAGACAGAGAUUUUAGAAUACUUUAUGGAAAUUAUAAAGAAGCCGAAAUAGACCAAUACUUAUUAAGAAAAGUAGGCAUUGAUAAAACGAGGAUUUAUCACUAUAAACAGGCAAAAACUUUCUGUUUAUAUGUAUUACGACAAGAAACGGCAAAUAUCAUAGAAUUGCUUUCGCCAUUUUCCAAUUAUUUACAGAAAUUAAUAUUUAUUACCCCGUAGAGACUUUUAAGCUAUAAAAAGCUUAAUAAUAAUAGAUUUAAACUAUUAUUAUACGCCGACCCCCAUUUUUGCGCAAACGCGAAAAAAAAGGGGGAUGAUAUAGUCCGUACUAUAAGUAAUUAUGGAAUAAUACAGUCGUCAGUCUGAGAUGUGAAUUGCUCCCUUAAGUGGGGUAUCAGACGCAACCCUUAUGCUGUGUUAUAUGUGUCACAGCAGACUGCCUCCGGAUAGGAGGAGGAAGGCGAGGAUGACGUCAAAUCAGCGUGUCCCUUAUGCCCCGGGCCACACACGUGGUACAAUGGCCGCUACAAAGGGUUUGCCAAGCCGCAAGGCGGAGCUAAUCCCAUCAAAAGCGGUCUCAGUUCGGAUUGAGGGCUGCAACUCGCCCUCAUGAAGCCGGAAUCGCUAGUAAUCGUGAAUCAGCCAUGUCACGGUGAAUACGUUCCCGAAUCUUGUACUCACUGCCCAUCAAUCUAGAAAAGUGGGGAAUACCCGAAAUCUUCAUUUAUUGGGGACUAAGGUAAGCUCCAUAAUUAGAGAUAAGUUGUAACAAGGCACCGGUAGCGGAAGCUGUCGGUGGAUCACCUCCUU